This 466-nucleotide ribosomal RNA is filed under the name uncultured bacterium. RNAcentral's name for it is "partial 16S ribosomal RNA". It matches the Rfam family "Bacterial small subunit ribosomal RNA", at positions 28 to 507 of the family's 1533-position model. The record is from RNAcentral.
GACGAACGCUGGCGGCGUGCUUAACACAUGCAAGUCGAACGGAAAGGCCCAGCUUGCUGGGUACUCGCGUGGCGAACGGGGGAGUAACACGCGGGUGAACUGCCCUGGACUCUGGGAGAAGCCUGGGGAACUGGGGCGAAUACCGGAGAUGAGCUUACAUCGCACGGGGUUUGGGGGAGAGCUUUUGCGGUUCAGGAUGGGCCCGCGGCUUAUCAGCUUGUUGGUGGGGGAUUGGCCUACCAAGGCGACGACGGGUAGCCGACCUGAGAGGGUGACCGGCCACACUGGGACUGAGACACGGCCCAGACUCCUACGGGAGGCAGCAGUGGGGAAUAUUGCACAAUGGGCGCAAGCCUGAUGCAGCGACGCCGCGUGCGGGAUGACGGCCUUCGGGUUGUAAACCUCUUUCGCCAGGGACGAAGCGUGAGUGACGGUACCUGGAGAAGAAGCACCGGCCAACUACGUG